This 1384-nucleotide long non-coding RNA is filed under the name Homo sapiens (human). Its description in RNAcentral is "HSALNT0282473". The record is from RNAcentral. Lineage: Eukaryota; Metazoa; Chordata; Mammalia; Primates; Hominidae.
GGGGAGCGCUUUUGGAUCAAAUCCGGCAGGGAAUUCAGCUGAACAAGACCCCUGGGGCCCCAGAGAGCUCAGCGCUGCAGCCACCACCUCAGAGCUCAGAGGGACUGGUGGGGGCCCUGAUGCACGUGAUGCAGAAGAGAAGCAGAGCCAUCCACUCCUCCGGGUCUCGCUCUGUGUCCCAGGCUGGAGUACAGUGGUGCAAUCAUGGCUCAGUGCAGCCUCAACCUCCCAGGCUCAAGCGAUCCUCCCGCCUCAGCUCCCAAAGUAGCUGGGACUACAGGCGUGUGCCACCAUACCUGGCUAAUUUUUGGUGUUUUUUUGGUAGUGAUGAGCUCUCACUACCAAGCUCUCACUACUCUCAUGUUGCCCAGGCUGCUCUGCAACUCCAGGGCUCAAGCGAUCUGCCCCGCCUCAGCCUCCCAGAGUGCUGGGAUUACAGGCAUGAGCCACCAGGCCUGGCUGUUAACCUAAUCUUUUUAUAAUAAUGUUACUAUUACUCUCUUAAUCUGUCAGCAAUACUGUCACUAAUCCAUUAUAUGAUGCAAAUAUUAGUAUCAACCUACUAUAGGAACUUCAUCUUUCGACAAUGAUUUUUUUUUUCUUUUGAGACGGAGUCUUGCUCUGUCACCCAGGCUGGAGUGCAGUGGCGCGAUCUUGGCUAACUGCAGACUCUGCCUCCUGGGUUCAAGCGAUUCUCCUGCCUCAGCCUUCCGAGUAGCUGGGACUACAGGCACGCCACUACGCCCAGCUAAUUUUGAUGUUAUUGUCAUUAACCCCAUUAUGUGUCAAAAAUAUUAGCGUUAACCAGACAGGAAGCAAUAAUAUAUUAUCACACCUUUGCUAAUAUUAUUUAAAUUCACCCUAUUAUGUGAUAAAUAGGUUAACAUUAACCCUUUGUUUGACAAUAUCUCGACUAACCACAUUUUUGACAGCAUAAACUUCAACUCCAACUAGAACUCAGACCCCAACUAUAAUCCCUUUCUUGUCCCAAAUGGAAACUCUAACUUGCCCUCCUCUAGCAUGAGACCUCAGAACCCCAGGGUCCAGUCCUCACCUCCCAGGCCCUAUGAAGCCCCCCACCAACCUCCCAGGGCAUCUUAUCUUUCUCUUUCCCUCCAGACGAAGGGGAGGACCAGGCUGGCGAUGAAGAUGAAGAUGAUGAAUGGGAUGACUGAGUGGCUGAGUUACUUGCUGCCCUGUGCUCCUCCCCGCAGGACAUGGCUCCCCCUCCACCUGCUCUGUGCCCACCCUCCACUCUCCUCUUCCAGGCCCCCAACCCCCCAUUUCUUCCCCACCAACCCCUCCAAUGCUGUUAUCCCUGCCUGGUCCUCACACUCACCCAACAAUCCCAAGGCCCUUUUUAUACAAAAAUUCUCAGUUCUCU